GAUGAAGAACCGUAGCGAAAUGCGAUACUUGGUGUGAAUUGCAGAAUCCCGUGAACCAUCGAGUCUUUGAACGCAAGUUGCGCCUCAAGCCAUUAGGUUGAGGGCACGUCUGCCUGGGCGUCACAUAUCGUUGCCUGAUGCCAGUUUCCUCGUGAUGGGUGACUGUGCAGGGCGAAUGAUGGCUUCCCGUGAGCAUUGUUGCCUCAUGGUUGGUUGAAAAUUGAGUCCUUGGUAGGGAGCGCCGUGAUAGAUGGUGGUUGAGUGACGAACGAGACCCAAUCAUGUGAGACCCCUACCGAAUUUGGCCUUCAUGACCCACAUGCGUCUUUGGAACGCUCAUGACGAGACCUCAGGUCAGGCGGGGCUACCCGCUGAGUUUAAGCAUAUCAAUAAGCGGAGGA
RNAcentral lists this unclassified non-coding RNA (401 nucleotides) under soil metagenome. Its description in RNAcentral is "partial contains 5.8S ribosomal RNA, internal transcribed spacer 2, and large subunit ribosomal RNA". The stretch from base 1 to 123 matches the Rfam family "5.8S ribosomal RNA", at positions 35 to 154 of the family's 154-position model. The record is from RNAcentral.